UAGCGAAUGGUGGCGUAGAGCCUAAAACCAAACCCCGAACGCCACCUUCCUCGUUUUUACCGACAUCGAUGCAAUCGUUACCCUCACUACAGAAUACAAACUUGUAAGCGUUAAGUUUGGCUUCAGUUUUCUUGAUCUGGAAGAAACUCCUCGACGAAUCUUCUCCUCCAGCUUCUGGCUUAGGACCAGCCGCUAUGAACAACGACCUCCAGGGACUGGGGGCUGGAGUGACCCACCAAUAAGCUGACUGAGCGCAGAUCGUAGGUUCGACAUCCAUCUUGAUGUUGAGGUUCUCUUCUUCGGGGACGAACCCAACUCUGGACCUCCAGUUUGAGAAUUUCACGGGAAUGCCCCUGUUGACCUCUGAACGCUCCUGUCCGAUAAAGAGGGGACACUGGUUGCCACGACGGGAGACGAGAGUUAGGCCGCCACCUGUAGGGCCCCAGAUGAGGGGGAGAACGUAGUAACUGCCGUCGAAUAUGAUAUCACCAUCAGUGUCGAGAACUGGUCCAGCGUUUGCGGUCGCGGCCAAAACAGUGGUAAAGGCAAG
This 550-nucleotide long non-coding RNA is filed under the name Brassica napus (rape). Its description in RNAcentral is "long non-coding RNA (BNAP_LNC027087)". Lineage: Eukaryota; Viridiplantae; Streptophyta; Magnoliopsida; Brassicales; Brassicaceae. The record is from RNAcentral.